Gallus gallus (chicken) is the source of this 483-nucleotide long non-coding RNA. Lineage: Eukaryota; Metazoa; Chordata; Aves; Galliformes; Phasianidae. The record is from Ensembl.
AGGAAGGAAAAUGGGGGUGGAAGAAAACGUAAAGCCUGCUUGGACUUGGAGCAGGAGAGAGGCUGAAGUCGCCUUGCUGCUCACCUGGAGCCUGGUUUGGAGACGCUGCCCUAUGUGGUCUGGCCACCGUGGCUUUGGUCCCAGUUUGUGCAGUGAACUGGGCCCAGUCUGGGGGAAGCAGAAUGAUAUGUGUGCUCCUGUCCGCUCCGAAGGACUCAGAAUACAAGGAGGAGACAAGGGCAGGAGAGCUGCAUGGAGAACCAGGAGCGGAUACAGCACCAGUGAGGAGGAGAUGGAGAGACACCCACCAGUGUCGCUGCCCUGCGCUGAUCUCCAUCCACGUGGAAGCCCCGUGCAGAGCAGAGCUGAGCAGCGCUCCGUGCCCCACAUGCAGUGCAGCUCUUGCUGUGUGACCUGUGGAUAGCGCAGGCCAUGCCGGAGGGCGGCUGUUGGGUCCGUGUUCAUCUUGUACGAGUUCAGCAG